Long non-coding RNA from Quercus robur (English oak), 945 nucleotides. RefSeq lists it as uncharacterized. Lineage: Eukaryota; Viridiplantae; Streptophyta; Magnoliopsida; Fagales; Fagaceae. The record is from RefSeq and is a predicted model, not a curated record. The transcript has 8 exons.
CAGGAAAAGGAGGCUGGAUGAGAUAAGAUUUCAGCAAUACAGCCGAACCUUUGUUCAAUCAUGGAUCCUACAAGGAAGGGAAUCUUCUCGCUGUUACAACAGCAGACAACGGAUUCAAGAUACUUGCAAAUGCUGCUGGUCUCAGAUCUUUAAGACCAUUGAACCCCCCAUCUUUUGAUGCAUUGAGAUCGCCCAUUGAAUCGGCUGCAGCCAAGGUAGCUGGCUCUCCUGCCAUCACAAAUGACAAUCCAGUCAAUUGCAAAGUGGAAAGGAGCUCUCCUGUCAGGCCUUCUCCAAUUAUUAAUGGAGUUGAUCCAAAUGGUAGAAGCAUUGAAAAGCCAAGAACCAAGGAGGAUGUAACUGAUAGAACCAAACCUUGGCAGUUGUCUGAAAUUGUGGAUGCUGUCCAGUUCUGAUUAGUUACCAUGCCUGAAGGCACAGAUUCUUCCAGCAAGGUUGUUCGACUUCUAUAUGCAAAUUCUGGCAUUUGGGUCAGAUGGUGUUCAGAAGCUGUGGAAAUGGGCAGGGAACGAACGAAAUCCAAAUGGAAAGGCCACUGCCAAUAUUGUUCCUCAACACUGGCAACCAAACAGUGGUCUUCUUAUGGCUAAUGAUGUCUCAGGUGUCAUCCUUGAAGAAUCAGUACACCAUGUAUAGCACUAUCAAAAAAUGACUCAUGUGAUGUCAGCCUGUGGUGAAAAGGUUUCAUUAUUUAAUACGAUGACAUUCAAGGUAAUGACAACAUUUAUGCCAGCACCCCCUGCUUCUACCUUCCUAGCAUUUCAUCCUCAAGACAAUAACACACAUCAUAGCUAUUGGAAUGGAGGAUUCAACUAUACACAUAUAAUGUUAGAGUUGAUAAGGUAAAAUCAAAACUGAAGGGACACCAGAAGCGAAUAACUGGUUUAGCUUUCUCAUUGAAUCUUAAUAUCCUGGUUUCGUGGG